UCAAGCAAUGAAGCGCACACGGUGGAUGCCUAGGCAGCCAGAGGCGAUGAAAGACGUGGAAGCCUGCGAUAAGGCUCGGCGAGGUGGCAAACAACCUGUGACCCGGGCAUUUCUGAAUGGGGAAACCCACCGAUCACAAGAUCGGUAUCCUGUCCUGAAUAUAUAGGGCCAGGAGGCGAACCAGGGGAACUGAAACAUCUAAGUACCCUGAGGAAAAGAAAUCAACCGAGAUUCCCCUAGUAGCGGCGAGCGAACGGGGACCAGCCCUUAAGCAUGUGACUGAUUAGGCGAAUACGCUGGGAAGCGUGGCCAUAGCGGGUGAUAGCCCCGUAGUCGAAAAUCUGAUCAUGUGAAAUCGAGUAGGUCGGGGCACGAGAAACCUUGACUGAAGACGGGGGGACCAUCCUCCAAGGCUAAAUACUCCUGGCUGACCGAUAGUGAACCAGUACCGUGAGGGAAAGGCGAAAAGAACCCCGGAGAGGGGAGUGAAAUAGAUCCUGAAACCGUGUGCGUACAAGCAGUAGGAGCAGACUUGUUCUGUGACUGCGUACCUUUUGUAUAAUGGGUCAGCGACUUAUAUUCAGUGGCGAGGUUAACCGUAUAGGGGAGCCGUAGGGAAACCGAGUCUUAACUGGGCGACACAGUCGCUGGAUAUAGACCCGAAACCGAGCGAUCUAUCCAUGAGCAGGUUGAAGAUUGAGUAACAUCAAUUGGAGGACCGAACCAGGAUCUGUUGAAAAAGAUUUGGAUGACUUGUGGAUCGGAGUGAAAGGCUAAUCAAGCUCGGAGAUAGCUGGUUCUCCUCGAAAGCUAUUUAGGUAGCGCCUCACGUAUCACCGCCGGGGGUAGAGCACUGUUUCGGCUAGGGGGUCAUCCCGACUUACCAACCCGAGGCAAACUCCGAAUACCGGUGAGUGCAGCGUGGGAGACACACGGCGGGUGCUAACGUCCGUCGUGAAAAGGGAAACAACCCAGACCGUCAGCUAAGGUCCCGAAAUCCUGGUUAAGUGGGAAACGAUGUGGGAAGGCUCAGACAGCUAGGAGGUUGGCUUAGAAGCAGCCAUCCUUUAAAGAAAGCGUAAUAGCUCACUAGUCGAGUCGGCCUGCGCGGAAGAUGUAACGGGGCUAAACCAGGUACCGAAGCUACGGGUUCAUCCUCUGGAUGAGCGGUAGAGGAGCGUCGUGUACGCCAAUGAAGGUGAAUUGAGAAGUUCGCUGGAGGUAUCACGAGUGCGAAUGCUGACAUGAGUAACGAUAAAGGGAGUGAAAAACUCCCUCGCCGGAAGACCAAGGGUUUCUGUUCGACGCUAAUCGGAGCAGAGUGAGUCGGCCCCUAAGGCGAGGCCGAAAGGCGUAGUCGAUGGGAAACGGGUCAAUAUUCCCGUACCGGACAUGGUUGCGAUGGGGGGACGAAGAAGGCUAGGUGAGCCAGGCGUUGGUAGUCCUGGUGAAAGUCAGUAGGCUGAGGGUUUAGGUAAAUCCGGAUCCUCAAGGCCGAGAGACGAGACGAAGACACCACGGUGUUGAAGUCAUCGAUGCCACGCUUCCAGGAAAAGCCUCUAAGCUUCAGAUCAUGUGCGACCGUACCCCAAACCGACACAGGUGGUCAGGGUGAGAAUCCCAAGGCGCUUGAGAGAACUCGGGUGAAGGAACUAGGCAAAAUGGUGCCGUAACUUCGGGAGAAGGCACGCCGGCGUAUUGUGAGAGCCCUCGCGGCUUAAGCGAGAACCGGUCGAAGAUACCAGGUGGCUGCAACUGUUUAGUAAAAACACAGCACUCUGCUAACGCGCAAGCGGACGUAUAGGGUGUGACGCCUGCCCGGUGCCGGAAGGUUAAAUGAUGGUGUUAGCCCUCGGGCGAAGCUCUUGAUUGAAGCCCCGGUAAACGGCGGCCGUAACUAUAACGGUCCUAAGGUAGCGAAAUUCCUUGUCGGGUAAGUUCCGACCUGCACGAAUGGCGUAAUGAUGGCCACGCUGUCUCCACCCGAGACUCAGUGAAAUUGAAAUCGCCGUGAAGAUGCGGUGUACCCGCGGCUAGACGGAAAGACCCCGUGAACCUUUACUAUAGCUUCACACUGGACGCUGAUGUUGCCUGUGUAGGAUAGCUGGGAGGCUUUGAACUUUGGACGCCAGUUCGAAGGGAGCCAACCUUGAAAUACCAGCCUGGCAUCAUUGGCGUUCUCACUCAGGUCCGUUAUCCGGAUCGAGGACAGUGUGUGGUGGGUAGUUUGACUGGGGCGGUCUCCUCCCAAAGCGUAACGGAGGAGCACGAAGGUUGGCUAAGUACGGUCGGACAUCGUACGGUUAGUG
Molecule: ribosomal RNA, 2309 nt
Filed under: microbial mat metagenome
Description: bacterial LSU rRNA
Rfam family: Bacterial large subunit ribosomal RNA
Source: RNAcentral